CACGUAGGGCGCAAGCGUUGUCCGGCAUUAUUGGGCGUAAAGAGCUCGUAGGCGGUCUGUUACGUCUGCUGUGAAAACCCGGGGCUUAACCCUGGGCUUGCAGUGGAUACGGGCAGACUAGAGGCAGGUAGGGGAGAAUGGAAUUCCCGGUGUAGCGGUGAAAUGCGCAGAUAUCGGGAGGAACACCGGUGGCGAAGGCGGUUCUCUGGGCCUGACCUGACGCUGAGGAGCGAAAGCGUGGGGAGCGAACAGG
RNAcentral lists this ribosomal RNA (253 nucleotides) under uncultured bacterium. Its description in RNAcentral is "partial 16S ribosomal RNA". It matches the Rfam family "Bacterial small subunit ribosomal RNA", at positions 524 to 776 of the family's 1533-position model. The record is from RNAcentral.